CAGAGGCCAGCGCCUCUGCCAGCACAGGGUCCCCUUAUACUUUACUGGAGAAUUUUAGUUUUUAUCAUAGAGCAUUGAUGUGUCACAUUAAAAAUGUUUACAAAGCAUUUUAUAAUCAUUAUUUACUGCCUUACAUAGCAACCCCACGCUGCAGUUCAGUCCUGCCUUUUAAACAGCAUGAACCACCUACUCACACAUAGGACCCA
RNAcentral lists this long non-coding RNA (206 nucleotides) under Homo sapiens (human). RNAcentral describes it as "HSALNT0206408". Lineage: Eukaryota; Metazoa; Chordata; Mammalia; Primates; Hominidae. The record is from RNAcentral.